UUCUUAAAGUUUUAAUUUUAAGUACAACCUGCUCAAUGUUAAAUCUAAAUAGCCGCAGAUCCUCUGUGCUAAGGUAGCAUAAUAAUUUGCUUUCUAAUUAAAAGAUAGAAUGAAGGGUUAAACGGUAAAAAACUGUUUCAUAAAAAAUCAUUAAAUUGAUAUUAAUGUUAAAAAUCAUUAAUAUUACAAUAAGACGACAAGACCCUAAUAAACUUAUCAUUUAGUUGGGGCAACUCAGUAAUAAAAUUUUAUUUUGAAUUUUACAAAUCUUAUACAAUAAUACGAGACUAGUUACUAUAGGGAUAACAGCGCAAUUUCUUUUAAGAGUUCUUAUCAACAAAGAAUAUUACGACCUCGAUGUUGAAUUAAUUUAUCUACUAAAACGCAAAAGUUUAUAAAGUUAGUCUGUUCGACUUAUAAUAAAUU
This 426-nucleotide ribosomal RNA is filed under the name Belisana sp. Ind15. RNAcentral describes it as "partial 16S ribosomal RNA". The record is from RNAcentral. Lineage: Eukaryota; Metazoa; Arthropoda; Arachnida; Araneae; Pholcidae.